This 253-nucleotide ribosomal RNA is filed under the name uncultured bacterium. RNAcentral describes it as "partial 16S ribosomal RNA". It matches the Rfam family "Bacterial small subunit ribosomal RNA", at positions 524 to 776 of the family's 1533-position model. The record is from RNAcentral.
UACAGAGAGUGCAAGCGUUAAUCGGAAUUACUGGGCGUAAAGCGUGCGCAGGCGGUUAUGUAAGACAGGUGUGAAAUCCCCGGGCUUAACCUGGGAACUGCAUUUGUGACUGCAUAGCUAGAGUACGGUAGAGGGGGAUGGAAUUCCGCGUGUAGCAGUGAAAUGCGUAGAUAUGCGGAGGAACACCGAUGGCGAAGGCAAUCCCCUGGACCUGUACUGACGCUCAUGCACGAAAGCGUGGGGAGCAAACAGG